GGGUUGUGAGGUUAAGCGACUAAGCGUACACGGUGGAUGCCCUGGCAGUCAGAGGCGAUGAAGGACGUGCUAAUCUGCGAUAAGCGUCGGUAAGGUGAUAUGAACCGUUAUAACCGGCGAUUUCCGAAUGGGGAAACCCAGUGUGAUUCGUCACACUAUCAUUAACUGAAUCCAUAGGUUAAUGAGGCGAACCGGGGGAACUGAAACAUCUAAGUACCCCGAGGAAAAGAAAUCAACCGAGAUUCCCCCAGUAGCGGCGAGCGAACGGGGAGGAGCCCAGAGCCUGAAUCAGUGUGUGUGUUAGUGGAAGCGUCUGGAAAGGCGCGCGAUACAGGGUGACAGCCCCGUACACAAAAAUGCACAUAUUGUGAGCUCGAUGAGUAGGGCGGGACACGUGGUAUCCUGUCUGAAUAUGGGGGGACCAUCCUCCAAGGCUAAAUACUCCUGACUGACCGAUAGUGAACCAGUACCGUGAGGGAAAGGCGAAAAGAACCCCGGCGAGGGGAGUGAAAAAGAACCUGAAACCGUGUACGUACAAGCAGUGGGAGCCUCUUUUAUGGGGUGACUGCGUACCUUUUGUAUAAUGGGUCAGCGACUUAUAUUCUGUAGCAAGGUUAACCGAAUAGGGGAGCCGAAGGGAAACCGAGUCUUAACUGGGCGUUAAGUUGCAGGGUAUAGACCCGAAACCCGGUGAUCUAGCCAUGGGCAGGUUGAAGGUUGGGUAACACUAACUGGAGGACCGAACCGACUAAUGUUGAAAAAUUAGCGGAUGACUUGUGGCUGGGGGUGAAAGGCCAAUCAAACCGGGAGAUAGCUGGUUCUCCCCGAAAGCUAUUUAGGUAGCGCCUCGUGAAUUCAUCUCCGGGGGUAGAGCACUGUUUCGGCAAGGGGGUCAUCCCGACUUACCAACCCGAUGCAAACUGCGAAUACCGGAGAAUGUUAUCACGGGAGACACACGGCGGGUGCUAACGUCCGUCGUGAAGAGGGAAACAACCCAGACCGCCAGCUAAGGUCCCAAAGUCAUGGUUAAGUGGGAAACGAUGUGGGAAGGCCCAGACAGCCAGGAUGUUGGCUUAGAAGCAGCCAUCAUUUAAAGAAAGCGUAAUAGCUCACUGGUCGAGUCGGCCUGCGCGGAAGAUGUAACGGGGCUAAACCAUGCACCGAAGCUGCGGCAGCGACACUAUGUGUUGUUGGGUAGGGGAGCGUUCUGUAAGCCUGUGAAGGUGUACUGUGAGGUAUGCUGGAGGUAUCAGAAGUGCGAAUGCUGACAUAAGUAACGAUAAAGCGGGUGAAAAGCCCGCUCGCCGGAAGACCAAGGGUUCCUGUCCAACGUUAAUCGGGGCAGGGUGAGUCGACCCCUAAGGCGAGGCCGAAAGGCGUAGUCGAUGGGAAACAGGUUAAUAUUCCUGUACUUGGUGUUACUGCGAAGGGGGGACGGAGAAGGCUAUGUUGGCCGGGCGACGGUUGUCCCGGUUUAAGCGUGUAGGCUGGUUUUCCAGGCAAAUCCGGAAAAUCAAGGCUGAGGCGUGAUGACGAGGCACUACGGUGCUGAAGCAACAAAUGCCCUGCUUCCAGGAAAAGCCUCUAAGCAUCAGGUAACAUCAAAUCGUACCCCAAACCGACACAGGUGGUCAGGUAGAGAAUACCAAGGCGCUUGAGAGAACUCGGGUGAAGGAACUAGGCAAAAUGGUGCCGUAACUUCGGGAGAAGGCACGCUGAUAUGUAGGUGAAGUCCCUCGCGGAUGGAGCUGAAAUCAGUCGAAGAUACCAGCUGGCUGCAACUGUUUAUUAAAAACACAGCACUGUGCAAACACGAAAGUGGACGUAUACGGUGUGACGCCUGCCCGGUGCCGGAAGGUUAAUUGAUGGGGUCAGCGCAAGCGAAGCUCUUGAUCGAAGCCCCGGUAAACGGCGGCCGUAACUAUAACGGUCCUAAGGUAGCGAAAUUCCUUGUCGGGUAAGUUCCGACCUGCACGAAUGGCGUAAUGAUGGCCAGGCUGUCUCCACCCGAGACUCAGUGAAAUUGAACUCGCUGUGAAGAUGCAGUGUACCCGCGGCAAGACGGAAAGACCCCGUGAACCUUUACUAUAGCUUGACACUGAACAUUGAGCCUUGAUGUGUAGGAUAGGUGGGAGGCUUAGAAGUGUGGACGCCAGUCUGCAUGGAGCCGACCUUGAAAUACCACCCUUUAAUGUUUGAUGUUCUAACGUGGACCCGUGAUCCGGGUUGCGGACAGUGUCUGGUGGGUAGUUUGACUGGGGCGGUCUCCUCCUAAAGAGUAACGGAGGAGCACGAAGGUUGGCUAAUCCUGGUCGGACAUCAGGAGGUUAGUGCAAUGGCAUAAGCCAGCUUGACUGCGAGCGUGACGGCGCGAGCAGGUGCGAAAGCAGGUCAUAGUGAUCCGGUGGUUCUGAAUGGAAGGGCCAUCGCUCAACGGAUAAAAGGUACUCCGGGGAUAACAGGCUGAUACCGCCCAAGAGUUCAUAUCGACGGCGGUGUUUGGCACCUCGAUGUCGGCUCAUCACAUCCUGGGGCUGAAGUAGGUCCCAAGGGUAUGGCUGUUCGCCAUUUAAAGUGGUACGCGAGCUGGGUUUAGAACGUCGUGAGACAGUUCGGUCCCUAUCUGCCGUGGGCGCUGGAGAACUGAGGGGGGCUGCUCCUAGUACGAGAGGACCGGAGUGGACGCAUCACUGGUGUUCGGGUUGUCAUGCCAAUGGCACUGCCCGGUAGCUAAAUGCGGAAGAGAUAAGUGCUGAAAGCAUCUAAGCACGAAACUUGCCCCGAGAUGAGUUCUCCCUGACCCUUUAAGGGUCCUGAAGGAACGUUGAAGACGACGACGUUGAUAGGCCGGGUGUGUAAGCGCAGCGAUGCGUUGAGCUAACCGGUACUAAUGAACCGUGAGGCUUAACCUUACAACGCCGAAGCUGUU
This 2929-nucleotide ribosomal RNA is filed under the name Escherichia coli. RNAcentral's name for it is "23S ribosomal RNA". It matches the Rfam family "Bacterial large subunit ribosomal RNA". Lineage: Bacteria; Pseudomonadati; Pseudomonadota; Gammaproteobacteria; Enterobacterales; Enterobacteriaceae. The record is from RNAcentral.